This 1033-nucleotide long non-coding RNA is filed under the name Lupinus angustifolius (narrow-leaved blue lupine). RNAcentral's name for it is "long non-coding RNA (LANG_LNC000202)". Lineage: Eukaryota; Viridiplantae; Streptophyta; Magnoliopsida; Fabales; Fabaceae. The record is from RNAcentral.
AGAAAGAGAGAAGAAUUUGAGCUGCAAAGUAAGAGAACGGUUGUUUUAUUUAUUCUGCAUGGAGGUAUAUAUAUUACCAGACCAUAGUGGAAGACAAGUUAAAAGCAUAAACAUAAACAUAAGUACCAUAAUCAAUGUUCAUACAUAAGAUGGAUGGUCGAAAAUGUUAUCUAUCAUGAGUUCUUGGUGGAGGAUGAACCAGCCUUGAUGAUCUUUAUUAUAAAGUCGUUCUUGAUCUGUGAUCUUGAAACAGGAAGGUUGCUGAAUGAACCAGUAGGAUGUGAAGUCCUUUGGCCUUGAGCUUCGGCACCACCCUUUCCACUCAUACUUGCUCCUCCACUAUAAGCUGAAACAACUGAACUAGUUCUCCCAAUUACACUGCAACAACUGAUUAUAUACAAGUAAAAUUUACUACUUUGCUUGUUCUAUUUUUUACUGUGGCUGUAGGACUUUUUGGAUAAGAUAUUAGAUAGAAUACAAAAUGGUCAAUGAUUCGACUCCUAUGAAUGAUACUUGUUGAGAAAUAAUCAUACAAUACAAAAGAGAUUAGUUCAUUACCAUAUCCAGAUGGAUAUCAAGCUUUUUAUGACUAAAGGUCACUAUACUAAAGAAUACAAAUACAAUUUGGUGACUGCACAUCACUUCACAGUGUUCACACAAUAAAAAAACAGAAUAUACUACUUGCCUUUUGUGGAAGCGUGCAAACAUAGCAUAAACAAUGCAAGCUUGUGCACGUUGCGGUGGGGCUUACAAUGAAUCUCAUCAAGAAAGUGAGAAAUAGAGAAAAAGGAGAAUAAAACACAUUUGAGCAUGUAAUUAUUAUUUUUAUUAAUAUGGUACUUACAAAUGUCACCUUUGUAUUCUUAUUGGUUCAGGUAUGGAUACUGACGAAGAUUGGUGACGAAACCUAUGAGGCAUAUCGAUCGAAUAAUAUUUUGGAAUUAAUGGAUAUUCCAUUAAUUUGGGUGUAUUGUCCCCCAACAAGUAUUGUUUUCAUGAAUCAUAUUUUUUUUACUUUUCAGUACUAGACCAC